UUUUAUGGAGAGUUUGAUCCUGGCUCAGGACGAACGCUGGCGGCGUGCCUAAUACAUGCAAGUCGAGCGGACUGAUGGGAGCUUGCUCCCUGAUGUUAGCGGCGGACGGGUGAGUAACACGUGGGCAACCUGCCUGUAAGACUGGGAUAACUCCGGGAAACCGGGGCUAAUACCGGAUAACCCGUUCCACCUCAUGGUGGAGCGGUAAAAGAUGGCCUCUGGCUAUCACUUACAGAUGGGCCCGCGGCGCAUUAGCUAGUUGGUAAGGUAAC
This 272-nucleotide ribosomal RNA is filed under the name Alkalihalophilus pseudofirmus. Its description in RNAcentral is "Bacillus pseudofirmus partial 16S ribosomal RNA". It matches the Rfam family "Bacterial small subunit ribosomal RNA", at positions 1 to 261 of the family's 1533-position model. Lineage: Bacteria; Bacillati; Bacillota; Bacilli; Caryophanales; Bacillaceae. The record is from RNAcentral.